ACAUUUUCUUUAUCGUGCCAACGUUUCGAUCUUUUAUUGAGAUCAUCUUCAGGGCCUGGGAUUUGUGAAAGGUUGUGUUGAAGUUUGCGAUGUGACAAGCAUUAUCUCAAUUGUCAAGGACACGUUUGGUCUAUCACUAAAAGAUAGUGUCUUCAUGAUUUAUCAAUAGUAGGAGGUUCAUGUCUGAUUUAUUCUAUUUUUCUUAUUCAAGUCAAUCCAAACUUUUCUCCACUGAUACUAUAUACAUCUUUUGUUCUUUUGUGGAAGCCCUAUGAUUCAAUCUACACUGUGGAAAGUGCUUUUUCCCACAAAACUAAGCCCUUUCUCUGGUGCCUCUUUAGACUUUACGCACUUCCUUAGUGCAAGAAAUGUAUUACCGAAGUAAUAAGUGCUGAUGUCUAAGGUUUGUUUUUUAUAGGUUGACAUGUUUCUGCCUCUGCUUUGACCAUCUGAAAAAUCAUUGACCUAAAUGCAUUUAUGCAUCUUGACUGCGUACACGCUAUCCCGGUUCAAAAUGGGGUACGAGUCUACCCAGGCAUUUAACCCCUCGGGUCUUGGUCGCCCACCCUGCAUAAUAUAUGCAUCUUUAGCUUGUGCAAACUUGCACACCGAAACACAAGCUAUACUCUGCAUAUGCAAAAUGAUCGGCCCAGUGCAUUGUCGGUGAUUUAGUGUGUUUGUUUACCCUUGCACUCUCUUUCCAACUGAUCAGCCAUAGUAGAUAUUCUAAGUGGAAAUAGACAGAUGAGGAAGAGCUGGUUUGACUCUGAGGACGGUUCUAAGAUGGGAAACCGACCAAUGCCACCCUAGGUCAUUACAGACAUAAUUGUCCAGGCUCACAGCAUUGGCCAGAACUGCGGACUAUGACACUACAGCAUGUUUAGGACAGAUCAUUCAGGGGUCCAAUGACAACCCUCUUGUCAUUCUCUGGCGGAGAGAUAUGUUGAGAUGGGGUUGUCUUGACAAAAUGGUAGUAAUACUCUGGGUACCCGGAAACAUCGGGCUGGAGGGCAAUGAAUGUGCAGCUGUGGCUGUGAAAGCUGAGAUGUAUCACCCUACAGACUGAAAACCAAGGCGAUCCGGCCUGGUGUGAGCUGUAAACAAUAUUAAGAAAGCAUUGGUACCAUCAGUCUGAGACGCUCUUGCUAAACUGUGCAAAAAUGAAUAGGGAUAUUUGUAUAUAUUAUUUUUAUUCUAUUAAUUUUAA
Molecule: long non-coding RNA, 1207 nt
Organism: Cimex lectularius (bed bug)
Lineage: Eukaryota; Metazoa; Arthropoda; Insecta; Hemiptera; Cimicidae
Exons: 3
Source: RefSeq, a predicted model, not a curated record